RNAcentral lists this unclassified non-coding RNA (2015 nucleotides) under Hevea brasiliensis (rubber tree). The record is from RNAcentral. Lineage: Eukaryota; Viridiplantae; Streptophyta; Magnoliopsida; Malpighiales; Euphorbiaceae.
ACACCAAGAUCACCAAUGGCAGCCACUAAACCAGCUUUUCAAGCCUUGCCAACCAAUUAGAAAUUAGAGAUUUGCCUUUAGAGAGGUUGUAGAUGUGUAUAGGACACUAGAAACAAUUUCUAGCAAUUUUAAUUCAAGAGAAUAUUGGCAAUUCUCUUUGAAUUGAUGAGAGAAGAAGAAGAGAGGAGUGCACUAUAGGUGGCGGCACCUUUGGGAUAAACCAAUUAUUCUUUUUGCUCUAUCUCUAUAGAUGCGAAUCCCAAGAAUAUAGGUUGCCUCCCCUAAGUCUUUCAUGGAGAAUGUAUUUGGCAACCAUACCUUUAUAGUUGUCAACAUACCUGCGUCAUUACCCAUCAAUAAAAUGUCAUCCACAUAUAAGAUAAGGAAAGUGAUAGCACUAUCACUAACCUUCUUAUAUACACAUGGCUCAUCCUCAUUUUUUAUAAAACCAAAUGACUUAAUGGCUUAUCAAAACGGAUGUUCCAACUCCUCGAAGCUUGUUUCAACCCAUAAAUGGAUCACUUUAGCUUGCAUACCUUGGAAGCAUCUUGGGAUUCAAAACCCCUAGGUUGUUCCAUGAAAAUGUUUUUUUCAAUGUUUCCAUUGAGAAAAGCUGUUUUGACAUCCAUCUGCCAAUUCUCAUAAUCAUAGUAUGCAGCUAUUGCUAAUAGAAUCCUAAUUGAUUUAAGCAUGGCAAUAGGCGAGAAAGUCUUCUCAUAGUCGAUUCCUUAUCUUUGGCGAAACCCUUUCGCUACUAGCCUUGCUUUUUAGGUCUCUACCUUUCCAUCAGAACCAAUUUUCUUCUUAAAAACCUAUUUAUUCCCUAUAGGUACAAUACCUUCAGGUGGGUCAACAAGAUCCCAAACUUGAUUCUCAUACAUGGAAUCAAUUUCGGAUUUCAUAGCAUCAAUCCAUUUUGAAGAGUCUAUAUCUGAUAUAGCUUCUUCAUAAGUGGAUCAUCUCCAUGAUCUACUUCUUAAUGAGUAAACAACUCUUGUUCUUCUUUAUGAAGAAAAUCAUAUCUCACUGGUGGGUGAGAUAUCCUGUUUGAUCUGCGAGGAAUUACUGUAGAUGUUUUAUCAAUAGGUGUAGAUUGACUAGAUGGAUCUAUAUCCAUUUGAUCUGUUGGUUGGUCAGAAUUCUCCAAUUCUAACUCUAUUUGCCUUCCUUUGCCUCCUUCUUGAACAAACUGUUAUUCAAGAAAUGUGGCAUCUCUACUUACCACAACCUUUUGUGAUGUAGGCAAAUAAAAAUAAUAUCCAAAACUCUCUUUUGGAUAUCCAACAAAUCGACCUUUUUCUGAUCUGAUUUCUAAUUUAUCAGUGCUCUGCUUUUUGAUAUAAGCUGGACAACCCCAAAUCUUAACAUGCUUAAGACUUGGUUUUCUUCCAUGCCAUAUCUCAUAAGGUGUGGAAAAUACUGAUUUUGAUGGAAUCUUAUUCAGAAUAUGUAAAGUUGAUUCUAAUGCAAAUCCCUAAAAGGAGACUGGCAUAUUAGUAUAGCUCAUCAUACUGCGUACCAUAUCUAAUAGGGUACGAUUUCUCCUUUCAGAUACACCAUUCAGCUAUGGCGUUCCUGGAGGAGUCAGCUGGGAAAUAAUGCCAUGCUCUUUCAAGUAGUCAUCAAAUUCAGUACUCAAGUAUUCAUCUCUACGAUCUGAUCGAAGAGCUUUAAUACUUUUUCUUGUUUGAUUUUCUACUACAGAUUUAAAUUCUUUAAACUUUUCAAAGGAUUAAUGUUUGUAUUUCAUCAAAUACAAAUACCCAAACCUUGAUUUAUCAUUAGUAAAGGUAAUAAAGUAAUGAAAAUCGCUUCUAGCCAUUACUUUAAAUGGACCACAUACAUCACUAUGUAUUAGCUCCAAAAUAUUUUCAGCUCUUAGCCCUUGUCCAACAAAGGGUGAUCUAGUCAUUUUGCCCUGAAGGCAAGAUUCACAAGUUGGAGUAGGCUCAGAGCCCAACGAGGAUGAAAUCCCCAUUUUCUCCAAUUUUGCAAUCCUAUCUUCUGCAACAUGA